RNAcentral lists this non-coding RNA (115 nucleotides) under Shouchella lehensis G1. Its description in RNAcentral is "Bacillus lehensis G1 TPP riboswitch aptamer (THI element)". It matches the Rfam family "TPP riboswitch aptamer (THI element)". Rfam says of the family: Vitamin B(1) in its active form thiamin pyrophosphate (TPP) is an essential coenzyme that is synthesised by coupling of pyrimidine and thiazole moieties in bacteria. The previously detected thiamin-regulatory element, thi box was extended, resulting in a new, highly conserved RNA secondary structure, the THI element, which is widely distributed in eubacteria and also occurs in some archaea. The record is from Rfam by way of RNAcentral. Lineage: Bacteria; Bacillati; Bacillota; Bacilli; Caryophanales; Bacillaceae.
AUGACUAACUAGGGGAGUCCAAUGAGUUGGGCUGAGAGGGAAGCGCGAUGAAGCUUCUUGACUCUUUGGACCUGAUCUGGAUCAUGCCAGCGUAGGGAAGUUAACGGUUACACUC